GUUUUUACAUAAUCUUUGAAAGCUUGAGAACGGCUGUCAAAAAUAACCGAAGCUCUCUUAGGCUGACGUGUGCAACAAAUGUAAGACACGACUCCAGGGAGGCCCGGGCGGGAGGGCGGCUCCUGCCUGCGAGACCUCGUGAGUCAGUGUCAGGGAUGCCACUUUGGUUGACUUGGUUCUUUCCAGCAGCUCUGUGGCCAGUGAACAACACCAGGCCCCCCUCGGCAGCUGGCCCAGAGGCUCGAGGUCUCAGGGAAGGCAAGAGACCCCUCAAGCAGCUCCUAACACCAACCAAAGGGACUUGUGGUUUCUAAAACAGACGAAUCUGCAAAGCCCCAGCAGGCCCCUGGCUGCCUCCUCUCGGGCGGAUGCUUACUUUGCCUCGUUACCUGUGGAGUGAAGAAGAGACAGCUCAGUGCUGCCUCCCCCACAAGGCCCCUGACCAGGUGGAGCAAGACAGGCCCAGUGUGAGAGCAUGGUCAGCUGUUUGUUCGCAGGUUCUGGAAGCCGAUCAUCCUCUGCUGCUUCACCGGAGGAAGCAGGUGCAGGACCACUGCCCCUGCAUCGGGAGCUGGGCCUGGGAGUGGCCCCACACGGUGACAGUGGUCUGAUGGCCAAGUCAGCAGGGAGAGCCUCUGGUACCCCAGAUCACGCCCACUGCUGAAGGCAGUUUUAUGCCAGAGGCCUUUUAGAAACAGCUUUGGGGCCCACAAGUUCUCCCUACCAGAGGAGACACAGGGGACAUCAUUCUGAGUCUUCCCCCAAAGGCCAGGACGAUGUCUAACAGCCAGGGCAGCAUGUGGACAGCAGCCUGGAUGCAGAGGAGGAGGCAGGCCUCAAGGCCCAGCCAGCAGACAGAUGGUGUCCGUGAAGAGGAAGAGGGGGCAGAGUGAGUGAGACUGUGUGCACAGGGGAGAGGCACCCUACACAGACUGUCCAAGCUGGAGAAGAGUCUGGGGGCAGGGAGGGCUGUCCUUGUAUUCCUGCGAGACCCUCCAGCUGUGCGCACAGUAGGUGUUGAGGCUGCCACGUGUCGGGAAGCCACUCAGAGAUAAGCCAGCCCCAGGCGAUGGGGUUGGAAUCCAGACAGGCUGCCCGCCACCAGCACCGGGCACUGUCUUGCGUGAGUCGCUUGUAGCACUACGUUAUGAACGUGGCUCAGGGCCCUUCCUGCCUCUUGGACCCACCCAGCUCUCCAGCCUGGCCGAGGUGCCUGUCACCCAGAACUUUGCAUCCGGGGUGAAACCACCCAGAGGGCACAGGCAGAGCCCCUGGGGUAACGCCAUCCUGGUGACGGGCUGCAAAACCCUAGUGCUCAUAAAAUAAACACGACCCUCAACAGAAAAGGCCAAGGCCUGCACACGUACUGAAAGGCUCCACCAGGACCCGUUCCUGAAGCUCAUGUCCACGUCUGUCUGGCCAUCGCUGAUCCAAAUCAGAAGCUCGUCCCUGGCCCCCGGCGUCAGCCCUUCGCAACCUCAGAUCCGCCAGGCACAACCCGAGGGCACACGCGUGUGCUCCGCGCACUUUCCCCAAGCUGGAGGCUGUUACAAAUGCAAAAACCAUUCUCGGCUCGGAGGCCGUACAAAAACGGGGCAGCCCCUGCUCUAACUGCAGGGUACUGAGAAAGGGGACAGGCACCGGAGGAGACGGGAGAAGUGCCCGUGCUGUGCCCGCGCCGCAGGGGCUUCACUGAGACCCCCGCGGCCCUCACGGCGGGCCCUCUCCUUAGGGGCUGCCCUGGAAGGCCGGCCGGCCCCCAUCCCCGCCGUGCGGACACGCCCUCCAGGCAGUCGGGGGGUCGCCCCGACCACGGUCCCGACUUCCCUACAGACUCUCGCCCCACUGAACCGAACCCAGAUACCGCCAGCUCUCCAACCACCCACUUACUUCCGCCUUGGGAAAUAACUUCCGGGGUUACUCCGGACAUUAAGGAGCUGCCCCUUUCAGUCCUGCUGAGGCCCAGGUUAUUUGGGAUUCCCAGAAGACACCGUCUCGAGAAACCCUGAGAGGAAUUGCAGUUUAAUUGACAGGCCCCUGUCACAGAACGUAAGAGGCACUCCUGCAGCCUUCUUCACAGAGGCUCCCAAACUUGGCCAGACAUCCAGGUGUGACAUUGUGCUCACAAAACUCAGCAGAAUGAGUGGAAAGAUCAAUAUUGCUCAUCAUCUCCUUGGCGGACAUCAUCAUGUUGUGAAGACAACGGACCUGUGGCCUUGCAGAACCCUCCGGAACAGCUGUGUAAACGGAGUGUAGGAGGAAAGGAGCAUGUUCACAUCCUCAACUCUCUCCUGAAGGAAUGAACGGAAACAAACAUCCAGAGACGUCCCUCGGGGUGUUGGGUGCAGAGACAGAAGCGUGGCCCCUGUCAGGACAACGCAUAAACCCCCACACACUGCACUGUUCCCCACAGUGACCGGCCCCCCAGCACAGCGCAGUGCUCCCUGAGAUCCAAGCUCCUGCCGUGAGACUGUGCCCUGCAGCCCCCGUGCCUGAGACCCCACACAGCCUGGGAGGAAGCUGGACCAGCUGUCCGUUUGUCCUCUCUGCUCUGCAGAGCUGGCAGCAGACCGGGCCUCGGAGAGCCACAGCGCUACCCCAGAGAUGUGCCUGGACCCGGGGCUCCCAGGGCCUUUGGGGGACGGAAGGCUAGUGUGUGGGCCGGUCUUCUGGAAUAACGUCCAGAGCUGCAGGCUGACAAGAUCCAGUUCGGGCUGCCCUGCACUCCUAUGCCACCCACUGUCUACCAUUACCCACCUAGGCAGCAGACCCCAGAGCCGGCUCAGGGCCCACCCACAUGGCUGCUGGGAGCCAUCCACACUUGAGCCCUGAGCCCCUCUGCGUGCCAUGGAGACACUGGUGCCCUGGGCCGGGAUUCCAACUUGCUGCCGAGCCGGGUCCAGUUAGCCAGUGGUCACCCUGAAGUAGGACCCCUGCCAAGUGCACUGCGGACAAGGGCACUUUGAGAGCCCCGGUUCAAAUUCCACUUUCCAGGAGCCGAACCCUUUACAUCUGCUCUGGUGGCGCAAACUUCCUUCACUUACUCUCUUAAGCGACAGGACAGUUUGCUUCUUGUUGGCAUUCGUCAAAGCCAGGCUUCGGGUUUUGGGGAGAGAAAUUGGUAGGUGGAAACCAGUCCCCACAGGCCCAGGCAGGUUUAGAGCCUGGAGAGGGUCCCAAGUGGUCCAAAGCCUGGAAAAGCAACUAAGGUUGGCGGGGAGGGGGGCGGCUAACGAAUGCCUCACAACCCGAGAGCAGUUCUCCACCAUGUGAGCACAAAGCCGAGCAGACCCACAUUCCUGGCACUGCUGUGCAGGGCAGGAUCCUCUGAGUUGCCUUGGAAUUGGGACAGCAGGGAAGGGUCCAGCACGAGGUGGUGCCCACACUGGUGGACCCCGUCAGGGUUGCUCACGCCUCUGCCUGGAGUUGCCUCCUGCUUGCUCGGGACCAUGGGAGCCCAGGGCUCCGGGCGGGCGGGCAGGCAUGGAGCACCAGGCCCCUGCCCGCCCGGGGUGGGGGUGGGGGCUCGCCGGCCCAGCCAUGGCUCUGCCCUCGAGUCAAGUCUGGUCGGUUUAUGUGUAAACUGUGAUGCACCCAGACCAUAGAAGAGUGAGUUCUUAGGCCAGGAAGACGAGGACCCUCACAUGCAUGUUACUAAGUGAGGGGUGCGUCUAAAAAGCCUAUCUCCCAGACGACUCCAGCCACGUGACAUUCUGGAGAAGGCCGAGCUACAGAGACGGCAAAGGGUCAGUGGCUGCCCCGGGCUUGAGGAGAGGGGCGGAUGAGUCCGGGAGCACAGAGGGUUGUCAGGGCAGAAGGGACUCUGACACCUCGACGGACACCUGUCACUAUACAUUUGUCCAAGCCCAGAGGAUGCACAACGCCCACCAGGUGACCCUGAAGUAAACUCUGUACUUCCACUGAUGAGCAGGUGUCCGUCUGGGCUUGAAGGUUGUAACUAGUGUGUCACAUGACACACCAACGUGGGGACCGUCUACACCCUGUGCUCUUUCUGUAAAUCUAAGAGAGUAUUAAUGAAACAACAGCUAAAGUACUGGAGUGGCAAGAGUAGAUGGCAGGACCCGGCCAGAGCAGAGCCUUAAGGCGGCUGAGGCAGCCAGACAGGGGUGGAAUUUGGACUUGGAGUCUGUGCAUGGAGCAUGCCUUCACCUGCAAGAAACUGUGUAACUGAUGAAUUAGAAAAAGUGGGACAGGGGCGCCUGGGUGGCUGAGUCGUUAAGCGUCUGCCUUCGGCUCAGGUUAUGGUCCCAGGGUCCUGGG
This is a non-coding RNA of Leptonychotes weddellii (Weddell seal), 4281 nucleotides long. Lineage: Eukaryota; Metazoa; Chordata; Mammalia; Carnivora; Phocidae. The record is from RefSeq and is a predicted model, not a curated record.